This 1960-nucleotide long non-coding RNA is filed under the name Homo sapiens (human). RNAcentral describes it as "HSALNT0024748". The record is from RNAcentral. Lineage: Eukaryota; Metazoa; Chordata; Mammalia; Primates; Hominidae.
AUGAGGCUGCUUCAGAUGGACUGGAGUAUAAUUACCAGCCCACUAUGGAGAUGACAACGUACUUGGUUGUCCUCCGUUGCUGGCUUAGCUUGGUUACUCAGUCUGCAUAAACCAUGGGUAAGAGCCAAAAACAGAGGUGGACUGAGUCCUUUGAGUGGGUUUUACAUGAUAGAAGAAGUAGCGUUAAGAUCCCUGCAUUCCUUCCCUUAACACUGGCCAAUUAGCAAACCUGGGUUUGGGACACUACUGAUGAAACUUAAUUGUUCAGGGAGGUUGAUUAACAUAUUACUUGGUUUCUCCCCAUGAAGGCAUCGGGCAAUUGCAUCAGAAUUGAUGCAAUGCUACAUGAUCCCACCUAAUUCAGUCUAUUUUUCAUUGCCACUUUUUUUUUUUUUUUUUGAGACAGGGUCUCACUCUCUGGCCCAGGUUGGAGUGCAGUAGUGCGAUCAUGGCUCACUGCAACCUCAACCUCCUGGGCUGGGCCCAAGCAAUCCUCCUGCCUCAGCCUCCUGAGUAGCUAGGACUACAGGUGUGUACCACCAUGCCUGGCUAACCAUAAAAAUGUUUUUUGAGUGACAGGGUCUUGCUAUGUUGCCCUUCUUCUUUUUUCUUUUUUCCUUUUUUUUUUGAGACAGAGUCUCUCGCUCAGGCUGGAGUGUGGAAUGCAGUGGUGCAAUCAUGGCUCACUGCAGCCUCAACCUCCUCAGGCUCAGGUGACUCUCCUACCUCAGCCUCCCGGGUAGCUGGAUCUACAGGUGUGCACCACCAUGCCUGGCUACUUUUUUGCAUUCUUUUUUUGUAGAGAUGGGGUUUUGCCAUGUUACUCAGGGUGGUCUUGAACUCCUGGGCUCAAGCAAUCCUCCUGCCUUGGCGUCCCAAAUUCAUUGCCAUUCUUACUGAUAUAUGACUGUUGGUGUCAGAAUGCAUUUAUCUCCAGAGAUAAACACCACAAUAACCAUCAAGACCACGACUUAAACAAGCAACUCAACUAUGCAACAAGGCUAUGAAAGUAAAGGCCUUUUAUAAGAUUUGUAUUUCAAUAUAUUACAAAUCAGGGACAGAUACAAGCUUUGUGGAAACUGAAGCUUAUACAUUUUGCUGUGUUUCCUUUAACAAAAUAAAUACAAAAUUAUGAAUAUAAAACACCAUUGCUCCACUAUCCCUCGGGGGUCCCUUGAAGUUUCAGCUUUAUUAGCUUCAGAAUACAUUUUCUGAUUUCAAUAAAAAUAUAGAUGAUCUGGGUAUAGCUGAGAAACCGACACUUUAAAAAACUUGUAUACUGAAUGACUAACUAAAGAUAGGCAUAUUCAUAUACUUAGAAGUAAUGAAAUGCUCUUCAAAAACAUCUCAACAGAUGCGAAUAAAAUGCUGGAAGUUCUGAUGCUAUGAAAAAGGAAAUUCAACUUGCCCAGGUGUAACUUAUUCCAACAAAUCAAGUUUCUGAAGGUUUAAUUAGCUUUCAAAGCUGUCUGAAGGCCUGGCACCAUGGCUCACGCCUGUAAUCCCAGCACUUUGGGAGGCUGAGGUGGGGGUGGCUAGGUCAGGCUGGGGGAAAUCACUUGAGGUUAGGAGUUUGAAACCAGCCUGGCCAACAUGGUGAAACCCCGUCUCUACUAGAAAUACAAAAAUUAUCCAUGCAUGGUGGCGGGUGCCUAUAAUCCCACCUACUCAGGAGGGUGAGGCAGGAGAAUCGCUUGAACCCAGGAGGUGGAGGUUGCAGUGAGCUGAGCUUGCCCCACUGCACUCCAGCCUGAGUGACAGAGUGAGACUCUGUAUACCCCCGCCAAAAAAAAAAGCUUUUUGAGCACUCAUGAGUUCCCAUGACACACCAUGAAAUUAUCACAUUCAAAAAAGGAGAAAAGAAGAAGAAAGUGGAUUCUCUCUGCUGGCAAGCUGGUAUCAGCGCACACCCUAUAAAGUAAAGGAGCCCAGCUGGAAACACGAGGAACAUGAAUGAAUG